GGCCACCUGUGCUCUGCUGCCCUGACCAAGACGACACUUGUUCCAGAGGAUGUUACUGUGACCAAUACUGUUUGGAAGCUAGAGAUUGUUGCCCUGAUUAUAAUUUAACCUGUCAACUAUCUUUAACCACUGCACCAAUAAGAGGACCGGAUAAAACCAGCAACAGCACAACUAGAAUGACAAACACCACACAAAUGUCUCCAUCUACAGAAUUGUCAACAUGGAGAGGAAACUCCACAACAUCAUCUUCACCAUUUCAAGAGACCACAACGACACAACCCACCUCUGCCACUAAUGCAAACACCCAAACACACAAUGAUACAUCUGCACUUGGAUAUGACAGCCCAACUACAUCCAUACCUGUAACUGCAGCACCCAGCACAACAGACAUCAACCCGUCUUUUUUGCAUAAUGUUACAACCUCUGAAUCAACAUCACUUAAUACGACAUCAGGAAUCCUUGAUGGAAACACAACAACUACACCCACAGUGAAGAAUUAUACAACAGCCAGCACAACUACUCACAUUACAACAAACGCAUUGACAUCAUCCACAUUAUCAGCUACUCUAACAACCAACCAACCAAGUCCCAAUACCACAUAUAAUAGCACACAUUCACCAUCAGUUAACAUUUCAACUACAUCUGCAGACACUUCAACAGUUGCCUCUGGUUCAAAAACCAGCAGUACUUCCACAACACAACUGGAUGUCACUCCAUGGCCAACACAGACAGAGUCAUCUAAUACCGCUGUUAGCCAAGGAAACAGCAUCAGCACAACGACAGAUUCUGAUAGGACCAAAACAUCAAUCUCCACCCAUUCAGGAGAAGCAACACAAUCGAGGACCACAAACCUGCAGACCAGCAGUUCCACAUCUCCACUGGGAGACUCCACCACCAGCAGCACCAGCUUAAACAAUGGUACCAUUAGUAAACUGAGCAUCAAUGAUUCACAAAAAAAAAUUCACAGAAUUUCCCAUUUUUCAAAAGGGAAAAUCAUGUCCGUUGACUCUCUUUACAGAUUUCCAAACAGUGAUCUUUCACCUCAAUGCCUACAUUUUAUCUUCUAAUGGUGACAGUGAAGAUGUGAUUUUAGAGGCUUUCUCUAAUGACCUGCAUGCUUCCAGGACUACCCUAAAGUCAGGAGGAGAGAUUGUGGUCGACCGCUCCCACCCUGGAGCCAGGAUCUUCAUCACCAAAGCAAAAAAACCUAAUCUAAGAGUCAUGUAAAUACAAAACCAGAUUAACUUAUAUACCUGUUAUCAUACCUGUCAAGUAUCCCAUUUUGGCCGGGAAACUCCCGUAUUUUACCCCUCUUUCCCGCCAUCUUCUCGUAUUAGUAUUUUCCCAUAAAUAUCCCCUAUUUUAAUGUAAUAAUAAUUAAAAGAUGCCUUACUAAACUGAACGACAUCACUAGCCUCGCAAGAACUGCCACAUGAAAUGGUCUGGCUUGGUGGCAGUUCUCGCGAUAUUAGUGCCGACAGAGGCAACGAACCAGGAAACAACUCAGAACAGAGAUGAUGAAUGAAGAUGUUCCGGCAAAAAAAAAAAAAACAACUUGUGUAAAUACGUUGUAAAAUGUAACAGAGUUUAUCUUCCUAAAGAGCAACAGGAUGGGACAGAUCAGUAAAUUAGAUUUUAGCGUCUCCCACAGUGGAAGGAACAACGUAAGUCACCAUGAAAAAUCAGCCAAUCACAAGCGCCACAAAUAUACACUGCUUUAAAAAAGUGUUAAAUGAUGUAAAGUCUGUAAUAAAUGUGUCUAAUAAGUCA
This 1770-nucleotide long non-coding RNA is filed under the name Gouania willdenowi (blunt-snouted clingfish). RNAcentral's name for it is "lncRNA (ENSGWIG00000006416.1)". The record is from RNAcentral. Lineage: Eukaryota; Metazoa; Chordata; Actinopteri; Blenniiformes; Gobiesocidae.